UACGUAGGGUGCGAGCGUUGUCCGGAAUUAUUGGGCGUAAAGAGCUCGUAGGCGGUGCGUCACGUCGGCCGUGAAAACCUGCAGCUUAACUGUGGGCGGGCGGUCGAUACGGGCAUCACUGGAGUUCGGCAGGGGAGACUGGAAUUCCUGGUGUAGCGGUGAAAUGCGCAGAUAUCAGGAGGAACACCGGUGGCGAAGGCGGGUCUCUGGGCCGAUACUGACGCUGAGGAGCGAAAGCGUGGGGAGCAAACAGG
Molecule: ribosomal RNA, 254 nt
Filed under: uncultured bacterium
Lineage: Bacteria
Description: partial 16S ribosomal RNA
Rfam family: Bacterial small subunit ribosomal RNA
Source: RNAcentral